AACGAACGCUGGCGGCAGGCCUAACACAUGCAAGUCGAGCGCGCCCUUCUGGGUGAUCGGCGGACUGGUGCUUAACGCGUGGGAACGUGCUCUUCUCUACUCAAUCUCCUCGUGAAACUGAGACUAAUACCGCAUACGCCUUCUGGUGCCACGUUUUAUCUGAGAAGGAUCGGCCCGCUUUGGAUUAGGUAGUUGGUGGGGUAAUGGCCCACCAAGCCGACGAUCCAUAGCUGGUUUGAGAGGAUGAUCAGCAACACUGGGACUGAGACACGGCGCAGACUCCUACGGGAGGCAGCAGUGGGGAAGCAUAGACAAUGGGGGCGAGACGGAUCUAGCCAUGCCGCGUGAGUGAGGAAGGCCGUAGGGUUGUAAAGCUCUUUAAGAUGGGAAGAUAAUGACGGUACCAGAAGAAGAAGCCCCGGCUAACUACGUG
RNAcentral lists this ribosomal RNA (433 nucleotides) under uncultured bacterium. RNAcentral describes it as "partial 16S ribosomal RNA". It matches the Rfam family "Bacterial small subunit ribosomal RNA", at positions 29 to 507 of the family's 1533-position model. The record is from RNAcentral.